Molecule: ribosomal RNA, 491 nt
Filed under: uncultured bacterium
Lineage: Bacteria
Description: partial 16S ribosomal RNA
Rfam family: Bacterial small subunit ribosomal RNA
Source: RNAcentral
AGUGGACGCUGGCGGUAGGCCUAACACAUGCAAGUCGAACGGCAGCACAGUAAGAGCUUGCUCUUACGGGUGGCGAGUGGCGGACGGGUGAGGAAUACAUCGGAAUCUACUUUUUCGUGGGGGAUAACGUAGGGAAACUUACGCUAAUACCGCAUACGACCUACGGGUGAAAGCAGGGGAUCUUCGGACCUUGCGCGAUUGAAUGAGCCGAUGUCGGAUUAGCUAGUUGGCGGGGUAAAGGCCCACCAAGGCGACGAUCCGUAGCUGGUCUGAGAGGAUGAUCAGCCACACUGGAACUGAGACACGGUCCAGACUCCUACGGGAGGCAGCAGUGGGGAAUAUUGGACAAGGGGCGCAAGCCUGAUCCAGCCAUACCGCGUGGGUGAAGAAGGCCUUCGGGUUGUAAAGCCCUUUUGUUGGGAAAGAAAAGCAGCAGGUUAAUACCCCGCUGUUCUGACGGUACCCAAAGAAUAAGCACCGGCUAACUUCGU